GCAUAUCAAUAAGCGGAGGAAAAGAAAAUAACAAUGAUUUCCCUAGUAACGGCGAGUGAAGAGGAAAGAGCUCAAAGUUGGAAACUGUUUGGCUUAGCUAAACCGUAUUGUAAACUGUAGAAACAUUUUCCUGGCACACCAGAUUAAUAAGUCCUUUGGAACAAGGCAUCAUGGAGGGUGAGAAUCCCGUCUUUGAUCUGAGUAGUUGUCUUUUGUGAUAUGUUUUCAAAGAGUCAGGUUGUUUGGGAAUGCAGCCUAAAUUGGGUGGUAAAUCUCACCUAAAGCUAAAUAUUUGCGAGAGACCGAUAGCGAACAAGUACCGUGAGGGAAAGAUGAAAAGAACUUUGAAAAGAGAGUUAAACAGUAUGUGAAAUUGUUAAAAGGGAACCGUUUGGAGCCAGACUGGUUUGCCUGUAAUCAACCUAGAAUUCGUUUUGGGUGCACUUGCAGGCUAUACCUGCCAACAACAGUUUGAUUUGGAGGAAAAAAUUAGUAGGAAUGUAGCCUCUCGAGGUGUUAUAGCCUAUUAUCAUACUCUGGAUUGGACUGAGGAACGCAGCGAAUGCCUUUAGGCGAGAUUGCUGGGUGCUUUCGCUAAUGAAUGUUAGAAUUUCUGCUUCGGGUGGUGCUAAUGUUCAAAGGAGGAACACAUCUAGUAUAUUUUUUAUUCGCUUAGGUUGUUGGCUUAAUGACUCUAAAUGACCCGUCUUGAAACACGGACC
RNAcentral lists this ribosomal RNA (722 nucleotides) under Mucor ramosissimus. RNAcentral's name for it is "eukaryotic LSU rRNA". It matches the Rfam family "Eukaryotic large subunit ribosomal RNA", at positions 38 to 667 of the family's 3401-position model. The record is from RNAcentral. Lineage: Eukaryota; Fungi; Mucoromycota; Mucoromycetes; Mucorales; Mucoraceae.